Molecule: ribosomal RNA, 500 nt
Filed under: uncultured Sphingobacteriaceae bacterium
Lineage: Bacteria; Pseudomonadati; Bacteroidota; Sphingobacteriia; Sphingobacteriales; Sphingobacteriaceae
Description: partial 16S ribosomal RNA
Source: RNAcentral
CACGGAGUUAGCCGAUCCUUAUUCCUUCGGUACAUUCAGCUACUUACACGUAAGCAGGUUUAUUCCCGAAUAAAAGCAGUUUACAACCCAGAGGGCCGUCUUCCUGCACGCGGCAUGGCUGGUUCAGGGUUGCCCCCAUUGACCAAUAUUCCUUACUGCUGCCUCCCGUAGGAGUCUGGUCCGUGUCUCAGUACCAGUGUGGGGGGCCAUCCUCUCAGAUCCCCUAGCCAUCGUCGCCUUGGUAGGCCGUUACCCCGCCAACUAGCUAAUGGCACGCAUGCCCAUCCUUCUCCCAUAAAUGUUUGACCCCAUUACGAUGCCGUAUCGUGGUCUUAUGCGGUAUUAAUCCGAAUUUCUUCGGGCUAUCCCCCAGAAAGGGUAGGUUGCAUACGCGUUACGCACCCGUGCGCCGGUCUCUAGGAAGCAAGCCUCCUAUACCCCUCGACUUGCAUGUAUUAGGCCUGCCGCUAGCGUUCAUCCUGAGCCCAGGAUCAAACUCU